GGGGCGGUGGCGCAGUUGGCUAGCGCGUAGGUCUCAUAAUCCUGAGGUCGAGAGUUCGAGCCUCUCUCGUCCCA
RNAcentral lists this transfer RNA (74 nucleotides) under Brassica napus (rape). Its description in RNAcentral is "tRNA-Met (CAT) (tRNA-Met-CAT-8-1, tRNA-Met-CAT-8-2)". It matches the Rfam family "tRNA". From Rfam's summary of the family: Transfer RNA (tRNA) molecules are approximately 80 nucleotides in length. The record is from RNAcentral. Lineage: Eukaryota; Viridiplantae; Streptophyta; Magnoliopsida; Brassicales; Brassicaceae.